This is a small nuclear RNA of Rhineura floridana, 191 nucleotides long. RefSeq annotates it as U2 spliceosomal RNA. Lineage: Eukaryota; Metazoa; Chordata; Lepidosauria; Squamata; Rhineuridae. The record is from RefSeq and is a predicted model, not a curated record. The transcript has a single exon.
AUCGCUUCUCCGCCUUAGGACUAAGAUCAAGUGUACUACGUGCUCUUAUCGGUUUAAUAUCUGAUAUGUUCUCCGUGCAAGAACUGCAUAUUAAAUUAAAUUUUGAAGACAGAAGCUUGGAUGAGAGCUUGUUCUGUCUGCUUCACGCAUGAACCUGGUAUUGCAGUAUUUCCAGGAACAGUGCACUGCUU